RNAcentral lists this ribosomal RNA (379 nucleotides) under uncultured bacterium. RNAcentral's name for it is "bacterial SSU rRNA". It matches the Rfam family "Bacterial small subunit ribosomal RNA", at positions 30 to 410 of the family's 1533-position model. The record is from RNAcentral.
AUUGAACGCUGGCGGCAUGCCUUACACAUGCAAGUCGAACGGCAGCACGGGAGCAAUCCUGGUGGCGAGUGGCGAACGGGUGAGUAAUAUAUCGGAACGUGCCCAGUCGUGGGGAUAACGUAGCGAAAGCUACGCUAAUACCGCAUACGAUCUAUGGAUGAAAGCGGGGGAUCGCAAGACCUCAUGCUCAUGGAGUGGCCGAUAUCUGAUUAGCUAGUUGGUGAGGUAAAGGCUCACCAAGCCGACGAUCUGUAGCUGGUCUGAGAGGACGACCAGCCACACUGGGACUGAGACACGGCCCAGACUCCUACGGGAGGCAGCAGUGGGGAAUAUUGGACAAUGGGCGAAAGCCUGAUCCAGCAAUGCCGCGUGAGUGAUG